Molecule: transfer RNA, 77 nt
Filed under: Deltaproteobacteria bacterium
Lineage: Bacteria; Pseudomonadati; Myxococcota; Myxococcia
Description: tRNA-Ala
Rfam family: tRNA
About the family: Transfer RNA (tRNA) molecules are approximately 80 nucleotides in length. Their secondary structure includes four short double-helical elements and three loops (D, anti-codon, and T loops).
Source: RNAcentral
GGGACCGAAGCUCACGUUGGGAGAGCGCCUGCUUUGCACGCAGGAGGUCGAGGGUUCGAUUCCCUCCGGCUCCACCA